Molecule: ribosomal RNA, 253 nt
Filed under: uncultured bacterium
Lineage: Bacteria
Description: partial 16S ribosomal RNA
Rfam family: Bacterial small subunit ribosomal RNA
Source: RNAcentral
GACGGAGGAGGCAAGCGUUAUCCGGAAUUAUUGGGCGUAAAGGGUACGUAGGCGGCUGGUCAAGUCUGGGGUUAAAGGCCACAGCUCAACUGUGGGAAGGCCCUGGAAACUGACCGGCUAGAGUGAGGUAGGGGUUGCGGGACUUCCCGGUGUAGCGGUGAAAUGCGUAGCGAUCGGGAAGAACACCUGAGGCGGAAGCGCGCAACUGGGCCUCAACUGACGCUGAGGGACGAAAGCUCGGGGAGCGAAGGGG